RNAcentral lists this ribosomal RNA (492 nucleotides) under uncultured bacterium. RNAcentral describes it as "partial 16S ribosomal RNA". It matches the Rfam family "Bacterial small subunit ribosomal RNA", at positions 29 to 507 of the family's 1533-position model. The record is from RNAcentral.
AGUGAACGCUGGCGGUAGGCCUAACACAUGCAAGUCGAACGGCAGCACAGUAAGAGCUUGCUCUUACGGGUGGCGAGUGGCGGACGGGUGAGGAGUACAUCGGAAUCUACUUUUUCGUGGGGGAUAACGUAGGGAAACUUACGCUAAUACCGCAUACGACCUACGGGUGAAAGCAGGGGAUCUUCGGACCUUGCGCGAUUGAAUGAGCCGAUGUCGGAUUAGCUAGUUGGCGGGGUAAAGGCCCACCAAGGCGACGAUCCGUAGCUGGUCUGAGAGGAUGAUCAGCCACACUGGAACUGAGACACGGUCCAGACUCCUACGGGAGGCAGCAGUGGGGAAUAUUGGACAAUGGGCGCAAGCCUGAUCCAGCCAUACCUCGUGGGUGAAGAAGGCCUUCGGGUUGUAAAGCCCUUUUGUUGGGAAAGAAAAGCAGCAGGUUAAUACCCCGCUGUUCUGACGGUACCCAAAGAAUAAGCACCGGCUAACUUCGUG